RNA transcript from Ailuropoda melanoleuca (giant panda), 1902 nucleotides. It is a transcript of the gene named general transcription factor IIIC subunit 6, with no coding region annotated. The record is from RefSeq and is a predicted model, not a curated record. Lineage: Eukaryota; Metazoa; Chordata; Mammalia; Carnivora; Ursidae. The transcript has 8 exons.
CAACAGCCAGACAAGGGGAGCUGCUGCCCGUACUCAAGAUGGCGGCCGUGGAGGGCGUGGCCAGCGACUCGGAGGUUCCGAAACGGUGAGGAAUCAUGGCGGCGACCGAGGAGCGGAUCCGAGAGGAUGGAGAAGAGGAAGAAGAGGAAGCAGAGCAGUUGGUUCUGGUGGAAUUGUCCGGAAUUAUUGAUUCAGACUUUCUAUCAAAAUGUGAAAAUAAAUGCAAGAUUUUGGGAAUUGACACUGAGAGGCCCAUUCUGCAAGUGGACAACUAUGUCUUUGCUGGAGAGUAUGAAGAUACUCUUGGCACCUGUGCUAUAUUUGAAGAAAAUGUUGAACAUGGUGACACAGAAGGCAGUAAUAAAACAGUGCUAAAAUAUACAUGCCAUACAAUGAAGAAACUCAGCAUGACACGAACUCUUCUGACAGAAAAGAAGGAAGGAGAAGAAAGUAUAGGUGGUGUGGAAUGGCUGCAAAUCAAGGACAAUGAUUUCUCCUAUAGACCCAACAUGAUUUGUAGCUUUCUGCACGAACAUGAAGAUGACGACGUUGUAGCUCCAGCCUCAGAUAAGUCUUUGGAGUUGGAAGAGCAAGAGAUUCAAACGAAAGAUAAUUCAAACCUGAGUUAUGAACAGGGGAAAUCACUGAACUUGGAAGUAGAGAAUUCUGGUCCUCUUAUUGAUAUCCCUUCUUCUGAUACAGAAGGUUAUGUUUUUAUGGAACCUCAAGACACUGCCUUGGAAAUCACUCCUAGAUGAAAUGUUUCUCAUUAUAACUAGUAGUGAACUUUUUGGAGUUUUUAUAUAAAAUAAUUGUGUAGCUUUCAGUUCACUAUUUUACUAUUUUUGUUGGCUAUACAUGAUUUUUUACUAUAGCACAAUUUAAUAUACCAGAGUCAUUAAGGACCAGAUAUGAAUUGAAUUUUUAAAAAUCUGGUAUAAAUGACUAUAGGGGCCCUUUAAAUUUCUUUAAAUCAGAAGCUUUAUUAAGGUGAGUAUGUAAGUUUUUUAUUGCAGCCAUCACAAAUUACUGCAGACUUAGUGGCUUCAAACGACACAAGUGUAUUAUCUUAUAGUUUUGUAAGUCAGCUAUCUGACAUAGGCUGGGUUAAAAUCCAGGUGUUGGCAGGACUUCAUUCCUUUCUGGAGGUUGGGGGUUGGGGAGACUCUGUUUCUUUGUUCCUUUAGUUGUUGGCAGAUUUCAAUUCUUUGCCAUUGAAGGAUCAGUGUCCCAUUUUCUUGCUGUCAUUGAUGGCCAUUUCCAGCUUCUAGAGGCUGCCUACAUUCCUUGGCUUAUGGUCCUCUUCUCUUCAAAGCCAGUAAAUCUCUUGCUUCUUCCAUCAGCCUGUCUCUGACCCAUCUUGCUAAUUACCUGACCCAGUACCUGUUUUUUCUUUUUUUCUUUUGUAACAAUCCCAGAAUUAUUCAGGUUAGCAAUGUUCCCAUAUAUGUGUAAAUAUGUGGCCAUAUGACUAAGUUCUGGCCAGCGCCAUGGCAUUAUAAGUGUUGAGUGAUGGAUGCUUCUGGAAAGUUUCCUUAAACUUAAGGCAUAGAGGGAGGUGGGCCAGUUCAUCUUCUCUUUUAUCCUGCUGGAACAUGGAUGUGGCGGCUAGAGCUUCAGGAGGGUGUUUGGACUGUAAAGAAACCUUGGAAACAAGCCUUGAGUGGCAGAGCAACAAGAUAGAAGAUUGGAUCCUGAUGUGAUGCUGCCCUGGACUGCCAAGAAUAAAGAAAGCCCAAAACGAAAAGAGCCAAGAGAUUCCUCGAGAAGAGAGAACCGAAGCUCAGUGAAAAUAUUAAAAAUGCUAUGCUGAUUAAAGGGGGAAAUGCAAAUUCAAUGGUGACACAAGUACUUAAAGAUGUGUAUGCACUGAAAAAACCGUAUGGCGUUCUGUAUAAAAAG